AGCCCCAUAGAAGGUCCCAUGGGCCCCAUAGGACCCAGCAGCCCCAUAGAAGGUCACAUCAGCCCCAUAGAAGGUCCUGGCAGCCCCAUAGGACCCGGCUGCCCCAUAGAAGGUCCUGGCUGCCCCAUAGAAGGACCCAGCUGCCCCAUAGAGGGUCCCAUCAGCCCCAUAGAAGGUCGUGGCAGCCCCAUAGAGGGUCCCAUAGCCCCACAGAGGGUCCUGGCAGCCCCAUAGGACCCGGCUGCCCCAUAGAAGGUCCUGGCAGCCCCAUAGAAGGACCUGGCUGCCCCAUAGAGGGUCCCAUGGGCCCCAUAGAUGGACCUGGCAGCCCCAUAGAGGGUCCCAUCAGCCCCAUAGAAGGACCCGGCUGCCCCAUAGAGGGUCCCAUAGGCCCCAUAGAAGGUCCUGGCAGCCCAAUUGAAGGACCUGGCUGCCCCAUAG
Molecule: long non-coding RNA, 441 nt
Filed under: Coturnix japonica (Japanese quail)
Lineage: Eukaryota; Metazoa; Chordata; Aves; Galliformes; Phasianidae
Description: lncRNA (ENSCJPG00005000586.1)
Source: RNAcentral